UGCUUGCGAAUUGAUACUAAGCCAUGCGAGUAUUGUAGUAAUACAAGGCAGACGGCUCAGUAACGCGUAGUCAACCCACCCUAUGGGCGGGAAUAACUUCGGGAAACUGAGUAUAAUGCCCGAUAGAACACUAUACCUGGAAUGGUCUGUGUUCCAAAUGAUUUAUCGCCGUAGGAUGGGACUGCGGCCUAUCAGUUUGUUGGUGAGGUAAUGGCCCACCAAGACUAUUACAGGUACGGGCUCUGAGAGGAGUAGCCCGGAGAUGGGUACUGGGACACGGACCCAGGCCCUAUGGGGCGCAGCAGGCGAGAAAACUUUGCAAUGUGCGAAAGCACGACAAGGUUAAUCCGAGUGGUUUGUGCUAAACGAACCUUUUGACAGUCCUAGAAACACUGUUGAAUAAGGGGUGGGCAAGUUCUGGUGUCAGCCGCCGCGGUAAAACCAGCACCUCAAGUGGUCAGGAUGAUUAUUGGGCCUAAAGCAUCCGUAGCCGGCUCUGUGAGUUUUCGGUUAAAUCUGUAUGCUCAACAUACAGGCCUGCCGGGAAUACUGCAGAGCUAGGGAGUGGGAGAGGUAGACGGUACUCGGUAGGAAGGGGUAAAAUCCUUUGAUCUAUUGAUGACCGCCUGUGGCGAAGGCGGUCUACCAGAACACGUCCGACGGUGAGGGAUGAAAGCUGGGGGGAGCAAACCCGGAUUAGGAUACCCGGGUAGUCCCCAGCUGUAAACUAUGCAAACUCAGUGAUGCAUUGGGCUUGUGGGCCAAUGCAGUGGCUGCAGGGAGGCCGUUAAGUUUGCCGCCUGGGGAAGUACGUACGCAAGUUUGAAGCUUAAAGAAAUUGGCGGGGGAGCAC
RNAcentral lists this ribosomal RNA (853 nucleotides) under uncultured marine archaeon. RNAcentral describes it as "bacterial SSU rRNA". It matches the Rfam family "Archaeal small subunit ribosomal RNA", at positions 28 to 879 of the family's 1478-position model. The record is from RNAcentral.